RNAcentral lists this signal recognition particle RNA (391 nucleotides) under Mus musculus (house mouse). RNAcentral describes it as "Metazoan signal recognition particle RNA". It matches the Rfam family "Metazoan signal recognition particle RNA". From Rfam's summary of the family: The signal recognition particle (SRP) is a universally conserved ribonucleoprotein. It is involved in the co-translational targeting of proteins to membranes. The record is from Rfam by way of RNAcentral. Lineage: Eukaryota; Metazoa; Chordata; Mammalia; Rodentia; Muridae.
GCAGGGCGUGGUGGCGCACGCCUGUAAUCCCAGCUACUUGAGAGGCUGAGACAAGAGGAUCUCAAGUCCUGAAGUUCUGGGCAGUAGUGCGCUAUGCAGAUUGGGUGUCCGAACUAAGUUUAGCAUCAAUAUGGCGACGUCCUGGGAGCGGGAGACCACCAGGUGGUCUAAGGCGUGUGUGUGUGUGUGUGUGUGUGUGUGUGAGAGAGAGAGAGAGAGAGAGAGAGAGAGAGAGAGAGAGAGAGAGAGAGAGAAAGAGAGAGAGAAAGAACCGGCCCAGGUAGGAAACAGAGCGGGUCAAAACUCCUGUACUGAUCAGUAGUGGGAUCGUGCCUGUGAAUAGUCCCUGCAAUCCAGCCUCUGGGGGACAACAUAGCGAGACCCGUCUCUU